AUUGAACGCUGGCGGCAGGCCUAACACAUGCAAGUCGAACGGUAACAGGAAGAAGCUUGCUUCUUUGCUGACGAGUGGCGGACGGGUGAGUAAUGUCUGGGAAACUGCCUGAUGGAGGGGGAUAACUACUGGAAACGGUAGCUAAUACCGCAUAACGUCGCAAGACCAAAGAGGGGGACCUUCGGGCCUCUUGCCAUCGGAUGUGCCCAGAUGGGAUUAGCUAGUAGGUGGGGUAACGGCUCACCUAGGCGACGAUCCCUAGCUGGUCUGAGAGGAUGACCAGCCACACUGGAACUGAGACACGGUCCAGACUCCUACGGGAGGCAGCAGUGGGGAAUAUUGGACAAUGGGCGCAAGCCUGAUGCAGCCAUGCCGCGUGUAUGAAGAAGGCCUUCGGGUUGUAAAGUACUUUCGGCGGGGAGGAAGGGAGUAAAGUUAAUACCUGUGCUCAUUGACGUUACCCGCAGAAGAAGCACCGGCUAACUCCGUG
RNAcentral lists this ribosomal RNA (490 nucleotides) under uncultured bacterium. RNAcentral describes it as "partial 16S ribosomal RNA". It matches the Rfam family "Bacterial small subunit ribosomal RNA", at positions 30 to 507 of the family's 1533-position model. The record is from RNAcentral.